AUACGAAGGGGGCUAGCGUUGUUCGGAAUUACUGGGCGUAAAGCGCGCGUAGGCGGAUUGGUCAGUUAGGGGUGAAAUCCCAGGGCUUAACCCUGGAAUUGCCUCUAAUACUGCCAGUCUUGAGUUCGGGAGAGGUGAGUGGAAUUCCUAGUGUAGAGGUGAAAUUCGUAGAUAUUAGGAAGAACACCAGUGGCGAAGGCGGCUCACUGGCCCGAUACUGACGCUGAGGCGCGAAAGCGUGGGGAGCAAACAGGAUUAGAAACCCUAGUAGUCC
This 274-nucleotide ribosomal RNA is filed under the name uncultured bacterium. RNAcentral describes it as "partial 16S ribosomal RNA". It matches the Rfam family "Bacterial small subunit ribosomal RNA", at positions 523 to 796 of the family's 1533-position model. The record is from RNAcentral.